This 253-nucleotide ribosomal RNA is filed under the name uncultured bacterium. RNAcentral's name for it is "partial 16S ribosomal RNA". It matches the Rfam family "Bacterial small subunit ribosomal RNA", at positions 524 to 776 of the family's 1533-position model. The record is from RNAcentral.
UACGGAGGGGGCUAGCGUUGUUCGGAAUUACUGGGCGUAAAGCGCACGUAGGCGGUUUUUUAAGUCAGAUGUGAAAGCCCCGGGCUCAACCUGGGAAUUGCAUUUGAAACUGGGAAACUAGAGUGUGUGAGAGGGGGGUAGAAUUCCAAGUGUAGCGGUGAAAUGCGUAGAGAUUUGGAGGAAUACCAGUGGCGAAGGCGGCCCCCUGGCACAACACUGACGCUCAGGUGCGAAAGCGUGGGGAGCAAACAGG